RNAcentral lists this ribosomal RNA (442 nucleotides) under uncultured bacterium. RNAcentral's name for it is "partial 16S ribosomal RNA". It matches the Rfam family "Bacterial small subunit ribosomal RNA", at positions 338 to 795 of the family's 1533-position model. The record is from RNAcentral.
CCUACGGGAGGCAGCAGUGGGGAAUAUUGGUCAAUGGUCGCAAGCCUGACCCAGCAACGCCGCGUGAAGGAAGAAGGCUUUCGGGUUGUAAACUUCUUUUAAUGGGGAAGAGCAGAAGACGGUACCCCUUGAAUAAGCCACGGCUAACUACGUGCCAGCAGCCGCGGUAAUACGUAGGUGGCAAGCGUUGUCCGGAUUUACUGGGUGUAAAGGGCGUGCAGCCGGAGAGACAAGUCAGAUGUGAAAUCCACGGGCUCAACCCGUGAACUGCAUUUGAAACUGUUUCCCUUGAGUGUCGGGGAGGUAAUCGGAAUUCCUUGUGUAGCGGUGAAAUGCGUAGAUAUAAGGAAGAACACCAGUGGCGAAGGCGGAUUACUGGACAGUAACUGACGUUGAGGCUCGAAAGCGUGGGGAGCAAACAGGAUUAGAUACCCCUGUAGUU